This 511-nucleotide ribosomal RNA is filed under the name uncultured bacterium. Its description in RNAcentral is "partial 16S ribosomal RNA". The record is from RNAcentral.
GGAGUUAGCCGGUGCUUCUUCUGCGAGUAACGUCACAGAUGUAAGGUAUUAACUUACACCCUUUCCUCCUCGCUGAAAGUGCUUUACAACCCGAAGGCCUUCUUCACACACGCGGCAUGGCUGCAUCAGGGUUUCCCCCAUUGUGCAAUAUUCCCCACUGCUGCCUCCCGUAGGAGUCUGGGCCGUGUCUCAGUCCCAGUGUGGCUGAUCAUCCUCUCAGACCAGCUAGGGAUCGUCGCCUAGGUGAGCCUUUACCUCACCUACUAGCUAAUCCCACCUGGGCUUAUCCAUCAGCGCAAGGCCCGAAGGUCCCCUGCUUUCCCCCGUAGGGCCGUAUGCGGUAUUAGCAGUCGUUUCCAACUGUUAUCCCCACAAAUGGGCAAAUUCCCAGGCAUUACUCACCCGUCCGCCGCUCGUCAUCUUCAAAAGCAAGCUUUUGAAAUGUUACCGCUCGACUUGCAUGUGUUAGGCCUGCCGCCAGCGUUCAAUCUGAACCAAGAUCAAAUUCUGA